AAUGUGACAAAGGUAAAAUUAAACACCUUGAGGCCAAGGUGACUUCUGGGCGUGAGUUUGUCUUACGGGUUUUAUUGUACAUCAAAGCGUUGCGGCUGACAAAAGCAAACGUAAACACAUGCAAAAUAUUACAAAGCU
Drosophila innubila is the source of this 138-nucleotide long non-coding RNA. RefSeq lists it as uncharacterized. The record is from RefSeq and is a predicted model, not a curated record. Lineage: Eukaryota; Metazoa; Arthropoda; Insecta; Diptera; Drosophilidae. The transcript has 2 exons.